AAAUUGCUCCAGAUCCUAGAAAAUAAAAGCAGGAAAGGAAAGGUUGGCUGAACAGGGAAGGAAAAUAUGUCAAGAACAAAAGACAAAUGAUUAUCUCAGGAAAAGUUCCUGCCCCUCUAAACUCUGUGCUGGGCAGCCACACGUGCCCGUGGGAAAGUGCUGUGUCCUUGGAGUGCCCUGCACGCUGCAACUGAAGCCAACAAGACACGGCCCAGACAGGGAGCAGGUUCUGCUAACAGUGGGGAGGGGACAUCUGGCAGCAUCUCUCCCAAGCAGCAACGGUAGCAGUGGUGGCAGCAACAGCAGCAGCAGCUGGGGAGUGUCCCUCCAACUUCAGAGUGAGCAGCAGCAGCUGACCAGAUUGGAGGACAUUUCCACUGUCUUCCCUGGCAGCUGUGAUGUGUUGUGCGGUGGCAGCUGAGGAUUGCCUGCGUGUAAUCUUUGAGGUUCCAAGAUGCUUGUUGGAAGUGGAGCCUGGUCAAGCAGCAGAAAGGACAGCUGGAUCCAUGCUGGGUGGGGUGAGGUGGGGUGCUUGUCAGGGAAGUUGGCUUCAGCUGGAACUGGAGGUUGGCUCCAGCAAAGGAGGUUGAACAUCACUGAUUCCUGACCUGCAGCACCCAAAUGGCCACAAAGAGAUGUCAUGGGUUUUGAGGAGGCCACAGAGCCAACAGCUUUAGUGUCUUCAGAAGGAUGAAGAAAACUUGAACAACAUUUUAAAAUAGCUUGAGAUAUAAUUCACAUCCCAGAGAGUGCAUCCAUCUAAAGGGUACAAUUCAAUGGAUUUUAGUAUAUUUACGGAGCUGUGCAUUCAUCACUACAAUUAAUUAUAGAACUUCUUCAUUUACUCAAAAUACCCCAGCACCCCUUAGCUAUCACCCUGAUUCCUCUAUCUCCCCCAGCCCUAGGCAACCAUUAAUCUUUUUUGUAUCCAUAGAUUUGUCUAUCCUAGACAUUUCAUAUAAAUGGAAUCAUGCAAUAUACGACCCUUCUUUCACUUUGUGUAAUGCUGUCAAGGUACAUCCACGUGAUAUCAGUUCCUCAUUCUUUUUAUGGCCAAAUCACAUUCCAUUGUAUGGAUAUAUUACAUUUUAUUUAUCUGUUCAUCAGUUGGUGGACAUUUGGGUUGGUUUCCAUGUUUUUGGCUGUUAGGAAUGAUGUCCCCAUGAACAUUCAUGUACAAGUUUUUGUGUGGACAUGUGUUUUCAUUUCUCUUGGACAUAUGCCUAGGAGUGGAAUUGAGUCACAUGGUAACUUUAUAACCAUUUGAGGAACUUCCAGACUGUUUUUCAAAGUGGCUACACCAUUGUACAUCCCCACCAGCAAUGUACAAGGGUUCCAGUUUCUCCACAUUUUUUUCAACUUUUUUUUUAAUCAUUUGACUUUUUUUUGAGACAGAGUCUCACUCUGUCGCCAGGCUGGAGUGCAGUGGCGUGAUCUCAGCUCACUGCAACCUCCGCCUCCUGGGUUCAAGCGAUUCUCCUGCCUCAGCCUCCCAAGUAGCUGAGACUCCAGGUAUAUGCCACCAUGACCAGCUAAUGUUUGUAUUUUUAGUAGAGACGGGGUUUCACCAUGUUGGUCAGGAUGGUCUUGAUCUCUUGACCUCAUGAUCCACCUGCCUCAGCCUCCCAAAGUGCUGGGAUUACAGGCAUGAGCCACCGUGCCCGGCCUCAUCUGACUUUUUAAUUAAAGCUACCCUAGCAGACAUGAAGUG
Molecule: long non-coding RNA, 1711 nt
Organism: Homo sapiens (human)
Lineage: Eukaryota; Metazoa; Chordata; Mammalia; Primates; Hominidae
Source: Ensembl